This is an RNA transcript of Acinonyx jubatus (cheetah), 1794 nucleotides long. It is a transcript of the gene named cell surface glycoprotein CD200 receptor 1-like, with no coding region annotated. The record is from RefSeq and is a predicted model, not a curated record. Lineage: Eukaryota; Metazoa; Chordata; Mammalia; Carnivora; Felidae. The transcript has 6 exons.
UCGUGGCUAGUCCGUGGCUAACCACUCCAAAUGCAUACUCUGGGGAGAAUGUCAGCUUUGCGGGUACUGAUCUCCAUCAAUAUCAUGGUGUCUGCUUCAACAAACAGUUCACUUAUGGACAGACAACAGAGAAGUUUCAUACUCCCUGUGGAAGCUAACACUUCCCUGUCUAAGCCUGUGGAUACAAAGGCUGUGCUCUCUUGCCCUCCAAUCACCCAGAAAGCUGUGCUGGUAACAAUAAGAUGGGAAAUAAUCCUCAGAGACAAGCCUUCCUGCACCAGAGCCUACAGGAGAGAUACAAAUGAGACCAGGGCUAUAAACUGUAGUGACGAGACAAUAUCCUGGGACUCCAGACCUGAUCGGAAUCCCGCCCUUCAGAUCGAUCCAGUGGCCAUCACUCAUGAUGGAUAUUACAGGUGUGAAGUGGUCACAACUCAUGGGCAUUUCUAUCAUGGAUAUCACCUGAAAGUGUUAGUGCCCCCCGAGGUGACGCUGUUUCAACUUGAGAAUGAAACUAUCGUGUGUAGGGCAGCUGCAGGGAAGCCAGCGGCGCAGAUCUCCUGGACCCCAGGGGGAGAUUGUCACACUGUGGAAGAGCCACUGGGCAAUGACACAGUGACGGUCCAGAGUUCGUGCCGCUGGGAGGACCACCGGGUAUCUAAUGUGUCCUGCUCUGUGUCCCAUCUGACUGGCAACAGGAGUCUGUCCAUUGAGAGGAAUUCUGGAGACCAGUUACCACAAAAAUUUGUUGUAUGUAUCACCUUCUUUAUUUUGAUUACUUUGGUCAUUGUGGGAUCCAUUUGCCUUUUGAAAAUCGAUGUCUGCAGGUAUUGACAAAUGUUUUUUCUUCCACAGCUUUAUUAAGCCAGAAGGGGUCAGAAAUAGAGAACUGACAGGUGAAAUUAAUAUGCUAACAUCAACUUCCCAUAAUCAAAAAGCACGUCCUAAAUGUCUUAGAUUUGGACUACUCUAAAUGACAGGAGGGAUUUUGCUUGGUCACUUAGGCGUGCAAGCACAGUGAAUUAGUCCAUUUAAGACAGGAUCUUGGGAGAGAUAGUGUAUACUAAAUUUCUAAACCAGUAAAUAUUAAUUCAUUUUAUGUCACAUAUUUUCCAUAUAUUAGGCUUCUGUUUCAUAAUUGCACUUCCUUUUCCAAAAUCUGGAAUUAUCUUGUCUACAUGUAUUAACCAAAAGCAUCAUUCUUAUUUCUGGUAGUUCAGGUCUGAUUUUAUGUAUUCUAUCAAAUAUGAAUCACACUUGUCAAUAGUAUAUUUUUUUGUUUUCCCAUUUUUAACUAAAAAAUGAUGUUUCCUUCAUUCACUCCAGCUUAUUUUUAUAUUUUGCAGAAAAUACUAAUUGAACAGAAAUUACGUCAGUUGUUGAGGAGGAUGAAAUGCAAUCCUAUGCCAGCUACACAGAGAAGAGCAAUCUAUGACACUGUGAGCAGAGUGAGGAGGUCUCAGGUGUUACAAAACGAAGUUGAUGGGCUUCAUAAGUUACUUGAAUCUAGCACCAGAACAAAUGAAUAAAGAAACAGUAAAGCUACUCUUUUGAUUUUCUUAGAAUUCUAGAAUGGAAAAUAUAAUCAGUCUUUGAGAUCUUUUAAAACAACACAGGCAGAGCUAUUGCGUUCAUUUGAAUGGUUACAAAAAUUCCAUUUUAUGGUUAUGUGAAAAUUUAGUUAACCAUAGACCUAAUUAUGGACAUUUAGAUGAUUUAAAUUUUGUUUGUUUUGCUAUUAUAAACAAUACCACACAGAUAUAUCUCUUUGCAUUUGCUUGAGUAUAUUUGUAC